Molecule: ribosomal RNA, 2338 nt
Filed under: Salmonella enterica subsp. enterica serovar Typhimurium
Lineage: Bacteria; Pseudomonadati; Pseudomonadota; Gammaproteobacteria; Enterobacterales; Enterobacteriaceae
Description: bacterial LSU rRNA
Rfam family: Bacterial large subunit ribosomal RNA
Source: RNAcentral
UUAGAACCAGUGGGAGCACAGGUUUACCUGUGUGACUGCGUACCUUUUGUAUAAUGGGUCAGCGACUUAUAUUCUGUAGCAAGGUUAACCGUAUAGGGGAGCCGGAGGGAAACCGAGUCUUAAUUGGGCGUUAAGUUGCAGGGUAUAGACCCGAAACCCGGUGAUCUAGCCAUGGGCAGGUUGAAGGUUGGGUAACACUAACUGGAGGACCGAACCGACUAAUGUUGAAAAAUUAGCGGAUGACCUGUGGCUGGGGGUGAAAGGCCAAUCAAACCGGGAGAUAGCUGGUUCUCCCCGAAAGCUAUUUAGGUAGCGCCUCGUGAAUUCAUCUCCGGGGGUAGAGCACUGUUUCGGCUAGGGGGCCAUCCCGGCUUACCAACCCGAUGCAAACUGCGAAUACCGGAGAAUGUUAUCACGGGAGACACACGGCGGGUGCUAACGUCCGUCGUGAAGAGGGAAACAACCCAGACCGCCAGCUAAGGUCCCAAAGUCAUGGUUAAGUGGGAAACGAUGUGGGAAGGCCCAGACAGCCAGGAUGUUGGCUUAGAAGCAGCCAUCAUUUAAAGAAAGCGUAAUAGCUCACUGGUCGAGUCGGCCUGCGCGGAAGAUGUAACGGGGCUAAACCAUGCACCGAAGCUGCGGCAGCGANNUGCUGGAGGUAUCAGAAGUGCGAAUGCUGACAUAAGUAACGAUAAAGCGGGUGAAAAGCCCGCUCGCCGGAAGACCAAGGGUUCCUGUCCAACGUUAAUCGGGGCAGGGUGAGUCGACCCCUAAGGCGAGGCCGAAAGGCGUAGUCGAUGGGAAACGGGUUAAUAUUCCCGUACUUGGUGUUACUGCGAAGGGGGGACGGAGAAGGCUAUGUUGGCCGGGCGACGGUUGUCCCGGUUUAAGCGUGUAGGUGUGUGUUCCAGGUAAAUCCGGUUCACUUUAACACUGAGGCGUGACGACGAGGCACUACGGUGCUGAAGCAACAAAUGCCCUGCUUCCAGGAAAAGCCUCUAAGCAUCAGGUAACAUCAAAUCGUACCCCAAACCGACACAGGUGGUCAGGUAGAGAAUACCAAGGCGCUUGAGAGAACUCGGGUGAAGGAACUAGGCAAAAUGGUGCCGUAACUUCGGGAGAAGGCACGCUGACACGUAGGUGAAGUGAUUUACUCAUGGAGCUGAAGUCAGUCGAAGAUACCAGCUGGCUGCAACUGUUUAUUAAAAACACAGCACUGUGCAAACACGAAAGUGGACGUAUACGGUGUGACGCCUGCCCGGUGCCGGAAGGUUAAUUGAUGGGGUCAGCGCAAGCGAAGCUCCUGAUCGAAGCCCCGGUAAACGGCGGCCGUAACUAUAACGGUCCUAAGGUAGCGAAAUUCCUUGUCGGGUAAGUUCCGACCUGCACGAAUGGCGUAAUGAUGGCCAGGCUGUCUCCACCCGAGACUCAGUGAAAUUGAACUCGCUGUGAAGAUGCAGUGUACCCGCGGCAAGACGGAAAGACCCCGUGAACCUUUACUAUAGCUUGACACUGAACAUUGAGCCUUGAUGUGUAGGAUAGGUGGGAGGCUUUGAAGUGUGGACGCCAGUCUGCAUGGAGCCGACCUUGAAAUACCACCCUUUAAUGUUUGAUGUUCUAACGUGGACCCGUAAUCCGGGUUGCGGACAGUGUCUGGUGGGUAGUUUGACUGGGGCGGUCUCCUCCUAAAGAGUAACGGAGGAGCACGAAGGUUGGCUAAUCCUGGUCGGACAUCAGGAGGUUAGUGCAAUGGCAUAAGCCAGCUUGACUGCGAGCGUGACGGCGCGAGCAGGUGCGAAAGCAGGUCAUAGUGAUCCGGUGGUUCUGAAUGGAAGGGCCAUCGCUCAACGGAUAAAAGGUACUCCGGGGAUAACAGGCUGAUACCGCCCAAGAGUUCAUAUCGACGGCGGUGUUUGGCACCUCGAUGUCGGCUCAUCACAUCCUGGGGCUGAAGUAGGUCCCAAGGGUAUGGCUGUUCGCCAUUUAAAGUGGUACGCGAGCUGGGUUUAGAACGUCGUGAGACAGUUCGGUCCCUAUCUGCCGUGGGCGCUGGAGAACUGAGGGGGGCUGCUCCUAGUACGAGAGGACCGGAGUGGACGCAUCACUGGUGUUCGGGUUGUCAUGCCAAUGGCACUGCCCGGUAGCUAAAUGCGGAAGAGAUAAGUGCUGAAAGCAUCUAAGCACGAAACUUGCCCCGAGAUGAGUUCUCCCUGAGACUUAGAGUCUCCUGAAGGAACGUUGAAGACGACGACGUUGAUAGGCCGGGUGUGUAAGCGCAGCGAUGCGUUGAGCUAACCGGUACUAAUGAACCGUGAGGCUUAACCUUACAACGCCGAAG